RNAcentral lists this ribosomal RNA (417 nucleotides) under Theileria equi. RNAcentral's name for it is "SSU rRNA". It matches the Rfam family "Eukaryotic small subunit ribosomal RNA", at positions 4 to 435 of the family's 1831-position model. The record is from RNAcentral. Lineage: Eukaryota; Apicomplexa; Aconoidasida; Piroplasmida; Theileriidae.
UUGGUUGAUCCCGCCAGUAGUCAUAUGCUUGUCUUAAAGAUUAAGCCAUGCAUGUCUAAGUAUAAGCUUUUAUAUGGUGAAACUGCGAAUGGCUCAUUAAAACAGUUAUAGUUUAUUUGAUGUUUGUUUCUACAUGGAUAACCGUGCUAAUUGUAGGGCUAAUACAUGCUCGGGCUGUUUACAGUUGCGUUUAUUAGACCUAAAACCUCCCCGCUUUUGCGGUGUUUCGGUGAUUCAUAAUAAAUUAGCGAAUCGCAUGGCUUUGCCGGCGAUGUAUCAUUCAAGUUUCUGACCUAUCAGCUUUGGACGGUAGGGUAUUGGCCUACCGGGGCAACGACGGGUAACGGGGAAUUAGGGUUCGAUUCCGGAGAGGGAGCCUGAGAAACGGCUACCACAUCUAAGGAAGGCAGCAGGCAA